UCCUUACUGACUAUUCAAUAUUUAAAACAUCACCAAAUUUAGACUACUAUUAGUUGAAAGGUGCAGUGCAGUUAAACAUCUAUUUCACAAGUAUUUCAAAAUAUGACAACUAGAAGAAGCAUGAAGAUAUGACUGCUCAGGUAACCGCUCAGGGUCAACAUUACUGUUGACGGUUUCAUCAAGGUGUCAAACUUUCAACAAGUUCUGAGUCUCAUCACAGCAGUCAGACUUUUGACAAUAAAAAAGAACCACCAGCAAGAAAGAGAGACAAAUCAAGUACUUUGCUAGCAUAUGUUAGAAAAAGGUGACCCAGACUUGCUUUGGAUGGAGGCAUAGUAGUCAAUAUUGUAUAUAAGAGAUCUUCACAAACUGCUGAGCCUAUACUUUUAUAAUAUGAACUUAAUCCCUGUACUUUUGACCUAGCUGUCUUGACAAUGACUCUAUGUGUUGUUCAAGGAAUUAAAAAAUGUCUUAAUUAACCUCCUUAAUAGUUUCAUCAAGGAGUCAAACUUUCAACAAGUUCUGGGUAUCAUCACAGCAGACGACUUUUUCUACAUCUUAAAAACACCAAUAAUGGGAUUUCACUGGGUAUGUUGUUGUUGUAAAAACACCAAUAAACAAAAGAGAAAAAUUAUGUGUGUUUUUCAAGUAUAUGUAAGAGAUUAAGGAACAAGAAUUUCCAAAAUACUGAUUGUGCUGGAACGAAUAGUUGAGAAGAAAAUCAAUCAACGAAUCAACAACACCUCAUUCCAGACGGCUGUGUCAGUUAUUUGUAUCCUAUGUCUCCUUUCCAGCUAUUUCAAUAUUUGAAAAAUCACCAAAUUUAGACUACUAUUUGUUGAAAGGUUCAUUGCAGUUGAACAUUAAUUUCACAAGCAUUUCAAAAUAUGACAACUAGAAGAAGCAUGAAGAUAUGACUGCUCAGGUAACCGCUCAGGGUCAACAUUACUGUUGACGGUUUCAUCAAGGUGUCAAACUUUCAACAAGUUCUGAGUCUCAUCACAGCAGUCAGACUUUUGACAAUAAAAAAGAACCACCAGCAAGAAAGAGAGACAAAUCAAGUACUUUGCUAGCAUAUGUUAGAAAAA
RNAcentral lists this long non-coding RNA (1088 nucleotides) under Solanum tuberosum (potato). RNAcentral's name for it is "long non-coding RNA (STUB_LNC010404)". The record is from RNAcentral. Lineage: Eukaryota; Viridiplantae; Streptophyta; Magnoliopsida; Solanales; Solanaceae.